RNAcentral lists this long non-coding RNA (1232 nucleotides) under Lupinus angustifolius (narrow-leaved blue lupine). Its description in RNAcentral is "long non-coding RNA (LANG_LNC002634)". Lineage: Eukaryota; Viridiplantae; Streptophyta; Magnoliopsida; Fabales; Fabaceae. The record is from RNAcentral.
CCAAAUCCAAGCAAAAAACACCUUUUAUUAUGAAGUGCGUGUACACAACUUUGUAAAAAUAAUACAUCUCACUCUUUAACUUGUAAGAGAAAAUAAUUGUUAUCAUUCUAUUGUAUCUCAAACAAAAGAAAAAAAGUAGUUCAAAAUGGGUAAUAGGGUACCCAACUCAAUCCAUAGAUCAAUUGAAACACAUAAUACAAACAAAUAGGUUCAAAUAUCAUAAGCAAAAAGAAAAAGAAAAAAUCAAAAUCAUGUCUCAGACUAAUGAAAACAUGUAAUAUCAAUUAAAAAUAUUAAAUAUUUUUUUAUUUUUGUUUUAAUAUUAUUAGUCCGAAACAUGAUUUGAGAUAACGAAUCAUUAUUCCAACACUCAUAAAUGAAAAUGGGUGUGUGAUUAGCAUUACCCCUUGGAGUUUGAGGAAUAAAUGUUACUCUUUCCCUCUAACUUCUUCUCCUUACCACACCCCCACACCCAACAUCUAACAUUGCCAUAACCUCCUCCAUUUCCACCACCACCACCUCCCCAACCCCAUCCACCACCACCUCCUCCUCCUCCUCCUCCACCACCACCACCACCACUACCUCCUCCACCACCUCCACCUCCCCCUUCUCCACCUCCACCUCCCCCUUCUCCACCACCACCUCCUCCUCCACCACUCCCACUUCCUCCACCCCAUCCAUGACCUUUGCCAUUUCCUCCUCCUCCACCACCUCCACCUCCACCAUUUCCACUUCCUCCACCCCCUCCAUGACCUUUACCACCCCCUUCUCCCCUUCCAUGACCUUUCCCAUUUCCUCCACCUCCUCCUCCACCUCCCCCACCUGAACCACCACCUCCACCUCCACCUCCACCCCCACCACCUCCAUUGCCUACUCCACCACCAACACCUCCUCCAUUUCUGCUAUUAAAUUUCCUUCCGGCUAAUACUUUAUCAUAUGAGUUUAUCUUUCUUCCACCAACAUCUUCCACCAAACUAUGGUUUCCAUGGCCAACUUCAGGAGCUAUAGUGAUGGAGUUGGUGCCAUUCUUCAUCACUUGAGAAUCAUUUCUCCCAUUAACCAAACAAGGACUUAAGAUCACUACUACAACAAUAAGCACUUCAAACACUCUUUUCAUCAUCUCCAUGUGUUGCUAAUGAAUGGAGAUGCAUGAUACUUGCAAUAUCAUACCACCCUUUUAUACCCAUCUCAUUCAAGUGCCACACUUCAACACAAAAUUUGGACCAUAUAAC